Molecule: long non-coding RNA, 272 nt
Organism: Nannospalax galili (Upper Galilee mountains blind mole rat)
Lineage: Eukaryota; Metazoa; Chordata; Mammalia; Rodentia; Spalacidae
Exons: 3
Source: RefSeq, a predicted model, not a curated record
UGGAAAGGAAGUUGGCAGACAUGGAAACCUGCCUGGUGCUGUGUCUUCUUAGUACUUGGAACAGUGCCCGAGUCACUGUGGGUGCUCAGCAAGCGUUGACUGCGUGAAAGACAGAAUACAUUUUUCAUCCUAAAUUCUAUCUGAAGUUCCUGUCACUCAGGUGGCAGGAUGAUGGAGGCUUUCUGAUUCCCAGAAUUCAUCUUUCUCAGCUUCCUAACUGAAGCAACAAUGUGACAACGGUCUCAAGUUCCUGCUAUCAUGCCCUCCCUGUG